UACGUAGGGUGCGAGCGUUGUCCGGAAUUAUUGGGCGUAAAGGGCUCGUAGGCGGUCUGUUGCGUCGGGAGUGAAAACUCAGGGCUUAACCCUGAGCCUGCUUCCGAUACGGGCAGACUAGAGGUAUGCAGGGGAGAACGGAAUUCCUGGUGUAGCGGUGAAAUGCGCAGAUAUCAGGAGGAACACCGGUGGCGAAGGCGGUUCUCUGGGCAUUACCUGAUGCUGAGGAGCGAAAGUGUGGGGAGCGAACAGG
This 253-nucleotide ribosomal RNA is filed under the name uncultured bacterium. RNAcentral's name for it is "partial 16S ribosomal RNA". It matches the Rfam family "Bacterial small subunit ribosomal RNA", at positions 524 to 776 of the family's 1533-position model. The record is from RNAcentral.